GACGAACGCUGGCGGCGCGCCUAACACAUGCAAGUCGAACGGAGCUGAGAGAAGCUUGCUUUUCUUAGCUUAGUGGCGAACGGGAGAGUAACGCGUGAGUAACCUGCCCUGGAGUUGGGGACAACAGUUGGAAACGACUGCUAAUACCGCAUAAGCCCACGAUCCGGCAUCGGAUUGAGGGAAAAGGAUUUAUUCGCUUCAGGAUGGACUCGCGUCCAAUUAGCUAGUUGGUGAGGUAACGGCCCACCAAGGCGACGAUUGGUAGCCGGACUGAGAGGUUGAACGGCCAAGUUGGGACUGAGACACGGCCCAGACUCCUACGGGAGGCAGCAGUGGGGGAUAUUGAACAAGAGGGGAAACCCUGAUGAAGCGACGCCGGGUGGAGGAAGAAGGUUGUCGGAUUGUAAACUCAUGUCGUUAGGGACGAUAAUGACGGUACCUAACAAGAAAGCACCGGCUAACUACGUG
RNAcentral lists this ribosomal RNA (468 nucleotides) under uncultured bacterium. RNAcentral's name for it is "partial 16S ribosomal RNA". It matches the Rfam family "Bacterial small subunit ribosomal RNA", at positions 28 to 507 of the family's 1533-position model. The record is from RNAcentral.